GUGUAUUGGGAAAGUUGGGAUGCAUGUUGUUAAGGAUGUGAGUUCUCAGGAAGUUGGGGUUUCAGAGAAUGAAGUACAUAAUCAAGGAGUUGAAAAUGUUGGAGGUUCCUCUGCAGUUUUCGGUUCUUCAGUAGUUGAGACCCAAGCUUUUGCAGUAGAGAAAUCUGAAUUGGUUGAGGAGGCUAUGGAUCAGGCCAAGGAAACAAAUGACAACGAGGGGGCUUCACUUCAGGAUUCAGAAACACAAAAGGUCUG
RNAcentral lists this unclassified non-coding RNA (255 nucleotides) under Hevea brasiliensis (rubber tree). Lineage: Eukaryota; Viridiplantae; Streptophyta; Magnoliopsida; Malpighiales; Euphorbiaceae. The record is from RNAcentral.